This 1307-nucleotide long non-coding RNA is filed under the name Betta splendens (Siamese fighting fish). RNAcentral describes it as "lncRNA (ENSBSLG00000018087.1)". Lineage: Eukaryota; Metazoa; Chordata; Actinopteri; Anabantiformes; Osphronemidae. The record is from RNAcentral.
CGCUCACCCGCCGUGAAACCACAGUCGGACGCACGCGCGCGCGCUCGCCGCUCGCGCCCGCUCGCUCGCUCGCUCGCGCGGCGCACACCUCCCCGCCGCUGGUCCAGACCCAGACACCGCAUGCCAGUGCACCUCGCUCCCUGAGCCACAGGCCGCAGGAGCAGAAGAAGAAACAGAUGGGCACCAGCUGUUUGGACGAGAGCCCCGGGUACACAGCUACUGUAUUGCAGCGCGCGCAUGAACACACGCAUGAACACAAACAGUGGAGUUGUUGGACUGCAGCGGCGCGCGGCAGCUCUCCUGGCCCGUCUCAGCGGAAGAACCCACGGGAACGGAGCAACGUUAGACUCAGGGCACGAGCUCCCGAAGGUGUUUUACUUGCAGAGUCGAAGAAGGAGGUCAACAGUCACAAAGUAUGGGUUUCAGCCCUUUAAUGAGAUACAAAUAAGAACAAACUGCAACUGAACAGUUUAACCUGAGCACAUGCUGCAUGAGGCUCCAAUAUGCGUUAAUGCAGCUGCAGUUCUGUUGGAUUCAGGCGACAGGUCUCUGGGCCCGGCUUGUGUUUUUAUGAAGGUCCAUAACGCUGGAGGACGGAGCUGUGGAGCGGUCCAGACCCCGUCAUGUUAUACUGCUGAUGCCGGCGCUGCCAGAACCCUCUCACGCCCCGUCCUGGACAGCAGAGACACGCGGCCACGGCGGCCGACGGACCGCAGCCGUAAACACUGCACCUCUGCUGCUUUUCGAACCGGGGGACGGGCGUUUUCCACCACAAGUCACAGGUUGAUCUGCAAUAACGUUUGGAUCAAGUAUCACACGGCUGAUGCCUUUGAUGGGUGCUGUAACGGGACGGGACCUACGAGGUCACAAGGACUGAAUAUAAACAACUCAUCAACUCAGCUUAAGUUUGAUAGAUGCUUUAUUAUGACUGGAAGUGUUUAACUAAAAGCGACUCCCGCCCUCUGGCUGCUCAGAUUAGGAUCUGUUUAACAUUCUUCUCUUUACCAACAUAUAUCUAUUGAACAUGAUUCCCCUCGACUCUCCCGCUCAACCGAUACGAGAGCCAUUAAUUUAUUGGAGGCCUUUGAAGAAGGAGGCCCGGAGGAGGUUCUCGCAGUCAGGCUGCGUUACAGUCACCUUGCGGAGGCGAGAUGCUGCGUGGCGAACGUUGCCACGGCGAAUGAAGGGACUAACACAGAGUGUCAGGUAGGAAACAGACAGGCUGCAGGGCCACGACAAUCAGCAGGGCCCGGCCCCGCGCUAGGCAGGACUUCAAUAAAAUACCUCCAGUCCUACUUUUAAAAGCA